Molecule: long non-coding RNA, 891 nt
Filed under: Homo sapiens (human)
Lineage: Eukaryota; Metazoa; Chordata; Mammalia; Primates; Hominidae
Description: HSALNT0397534
Source: RNAcentral
UGUGCUAGCAAUCAGCGAGACUCCGUGGGCGUAGGACCCUCCGAGCCAGGUGCGGGAUAUAUUCUCGUGGUGCGCCGUUUUUUAAGCCCGUCGGAAAGGCGCAGUAUUUGGGUAGGAGUGACCCGAUUUUCCAGUGAGAUGAACCCGGUACCUCAGCUGGAAAUGCAGAAAUCACCCGUCUUCUGCGUCGCUCACGCUGGGAGCUGUAGACUGGAGCUGUAGACAGGAGCUGUUCCUAUUCGGGCAUCUUGGCUCCUCCUUGACAAGCUUGAAGGUGAGCACCUCGAAGGGCUUCUUUUUAUGUUGAAAGGCACGGGUUUGCAUGGCGGUUCAUCAGAGGUCAAUACCCCAGUUUGAGAAAGUCCACUGUGGGGAGGAAAGAGAGACUUAAACAAGCCCUGGAAAAACAAAGAAUGGAACACCCCUCCGCUGACUUCAACCAACUGCCUGCUGAUGCGGCCUGACUCCCAGCCCUUUUUGCAGUUUUGAAGUGACAAACUGACUAGGCUACAAAGUAUUCAACCAUGGGCUGGUUCUGGCUGGUUCACCGAGGCUGUGUACAAAGUGUCUUCAUGUCCUGUGUUUCACCUUUUAACAUACAGAACCUAAUUUUACUGCAUUUUAAUGUUAAUUCUCCACUCGAAGGUGAACAUGGGAUGUAUGUAACACAUAUGUUUGCUUAUCAAGCACACAUAUGACCCCCUUUCAUGAAUAUUCAUAGUUCCCCCUGUGACCUGUUGAAUAUGUCUGUUUAGCCAACCUGUUUGGCAUAAAACUCCUAUCCCACCCUAUCUCCCUCAAAGUACCUGUUUGUGGUCUCAGCUGGAGGUGCCACUUCCCAGCCUGCAGUUUGCAACCCUUCUCAAGAAAUAAAGUCUUCCUUUCCAAGUU